CCGAACUCUUGGUCGACCUGUCGGCCCUGAUGCUGUUGCCCCCGGGGUGGUGGUGGUUGCUUCCUUUGAGAAAGGGAGAGAGAUGCCGCGUCUUAGUAGACCGGCGUUCCCGCUCUGUUUCUUGAGGAACGGCAUUUGGCAUUUUUUCCUGUCGUAUUCUGCGACUCGUUCCGGACAUUAUUCACUUUGUGGGCGACAGUUGGUCGGAUGGCAGAUGCCGGACGGCUGGAUUGAUAACCCUCGGCACUGUUUUAUGGGACUUAUAUUAUGAGUGUGAAAGCGGAUCGGCGCAUUUCAGCUUUCAUUUCUAAACAAACCUAUCGCUUCGAUGCUUUUAGGGGACUAAAAUGCUUCGAUGCUUUUAAGGGACUCCCCCUUACAUUCUAAAAGUUAAAAGAGCUGUUAUCGUUUGUUCUCCAAUACAUUCUUCCAACUAGCGGACCCUGCUCCUGCGGGAAAAAUGCUAGGAGGAGGAGGAUGGUGACGACGACGUGACGGUGAUGACAACGACAUUCUUACAACUGGAAAGGUGGCUGAGGGCUGACUGGAACUGGAUUUAACAUCUGAAGAGCUAGUCCCGAGGCAGGCAUUGAACGCAAUUGCUUCAGGAAUAAAACGAAAAAGACUGCACAAGAUUGUCUUUGUCUCCCCAAAAUAACCAAGAAUGAUUUAAGUUCCACUCUUCUUUCUAGCAGUGGUUAAUUAUCCCUGUAUUUCACAGGCAAUUUCUGUAUCCGAAGCCUAAUUUCUGGGCAUCAAAUUAGAUAGGCAGCUUAAGUAUUUUUGUAACAAAUCUUGUUUCUAUAUCAGAAGAGUUGGGAAUGGGAGCCAGAGGUUUUCUCAUCUGUAGCAAAAAUUAACACAUGAGAGCUGAUUUCCUUCAAAGCAAUUUACUUUUUAAAUAAAUCUGACACUGAUAAUAAAUCAAAGGAAAUUGAAAUGGAAGCAAAAUGAAAAAAGCAAAAGGGGAAUAGGAGUUCCACCUGUGUUAGAUGAGAUUGGGAUUUAGUUUUGGUGUAGACCCAGAUCCAACCUUGAACCUAAGCAGCACUUUUCCAGAUUUGAUUGAUGUGCUAUUUUGGAAUGAAUCUUUUGGCUAAAUGACUUUAGUUAUAUUCAAUUUUGAUAAAAAAAUAUAUAGUGAUGACACAGAAGCUAUGUUCAGACAAUUGCAAUAGAAAAGCUUUUAUUGGAUCAUGUAACCCCCUUAUUAGAAGAUGCUGUCUUAGCUUCCAUUCCAGGCAAAAUCCAAAAUAUUGGUUAUGACUUCUAAAGCCCUAUUAAUUCCUAAGAUUUUAAAUUAGUUUUUCUACAUAGGAACGAUAACAUUUUCAGUAAAAGAUCUUUGUUAGAAUUAAAGCUCUUGGUAAAGAUUUGAGGGUUUUCUCUUUAUCCGUUCCCAUUCUGGAAUUCUUUGUUGUUUCUGGAAUUAUUGUCUAAUUACUGUCUGGUCAUAGCCGUUCUAAAACCUUAUAUUUCUGAGCAAAUUACUGAAUGUGGAAACAAAUAAACUAUUACAUAUAUUUUAAUAAAAUUCCAGUUUGAAAAUUGAACCAGAAA
This is a long non-coding RNA of Pantherophis guttatus, 1560 nucleotides long. RefSeq lists it as uncharacterized. The record is from RefSeq and is a predicted model, not a curated record. NCBI's taxonomy places the organism in Eukaryota, Metazoa, Chordata, Lepidosauria, Squamata, Colubridae.